CGUGUAGGCGGCUAGGUAGGUCCGUUGUGAAAACUCGAGGCUCAACCUCGAGACGUCGAUGGAAACCAUCUAGCUAGAGUCCGGAAGAGGAGAGUGGAAUUCCUGGUGUAGCGGUGAAAUGCGCAGAUAUCAGGAAGAACACCCGUGGCGAAGGCGGCUCUCUGGUACGUGACUGACGCUGAGACGCGAAAGCGUGGGGAGCGAACA
Molecule: ribosomal RNA, 207 nt
Filed under: uncultured bacterium
Lineage: Bacteria
Description: partial 16S ribosomal RNA
Rfam family: Bacterial small subunit ribosomal RNA
Source: RNAcentral